RNAcentral lists this ribosomal RNA (274 nucleotides) under uncultured bacterium. Its description in RNAcentral is "partial 16S ribosomal RNA". It matches the Rfam family "Bacterial small subunit ribosomal RNA", at positions 523 to 796 of the family's 1533-position model. The record is from RNAcentral.
AUACGAAAGGUGCAAGCGUUGUUCGGAUUUACUGGGCGUAAAGAGAGUGUAGGUGGUUUAUUAAGUCGGAUGUGAAAUCCCGGGGCUCAACCUCGGAACUGCGUUCGAUACUGAUAGGCUAGAGUUUGGGAGGGGUAAGCGGAAUUCCGUGUGUAGCAGUGAAAUGCGUAGAUAUACGGAGGAACACCUGAGGCGAAGGCGGCUUACUGGACCAAUACUGACACUGAGACUCGAAAGCGUGGGUAGCAAACAGGAUUAGAGACCCCAGUAGUCC